CUGUGCUACUGGAAGAGGUGGAACCUGGCUGCACCUCUCCUGGACCCCAUUUAAGAGCUGACUGCCAGUGGGGAAGGGUCUCUUCUGGAGAUCAUUCCUUGUGGAGUUUACUGUGAGCCUACAACAUUGCAGAACACAUGGUUUUGCUUAGCACUGGCUGAGGAAUUACAAGCCGUAUGUCUUGAAUAUGUAUCUGCCAAGGGGAGCCAAUUAAGCUGCCGGCUGUGGGGCUGAGCUGCUGCCUCUCCGUGAACCUGGUGGAAAACUGAGAGAGAUUUUUCCUAAAGCUGAGCAAACUGGGCUUCUGGAAAGGCAGCUGGAGCCAAGAGCAGGCAGGGUGACUGGAAGGCGGAUGGAAACGUGCAAGAGAGCAGAAACACAAAUGUUUGGGCAGAGCUGGAAAACGCUUCCCACAGCCGACCACGCAGCUGCAGCUCAUGCCAAAUGCUGUUUGCUUUCUGGGUGAUGGAUUUGUCAUAAGGGCUAAGUUGCUGGGAUAGCUCAAAGUGAGCACAGCCAUGGCUGGUGCAGAGCUGGGCUCUGGGGGAGCAGCGUUACGCUUGGUGUUGGUGUGAUCUCAGGACACCGCUGCCAUCCCUGCGCUGGCACUGGGGAGGGUUGUGCCCAAUGAUGGGGACGUGCCCUCGGUCCCCCAUCUCAGUGAUGGCAUUGCAGGGUUGCUCCAUGUGAGCGCGGUCGGAGCCGUGCUGGAGCCCUGUUCAGUGGGACAAUGGGCAGCUCUGGGUGCAGCACUCGAGGUCUUCCUGCAGGCUUCCUGAGGGCUGCCCUCGCCCCGUCUGCAGCCCUGGGACACGCAGCCCGGCCAUGCAAGCACAGUGCAGAUGGGAACAGGUCCACUGCUGGUGCUGGGGAGGGAAGGAGAGCCCAAGUCUGGAGAGGGAACAGCGUCCUUCUCCCAUUCCCCCGUCAGCAGGUUGGCACUGAGGGCUGAUCACGUGCUCAUGUUGGAAUUUAAAGAAUAUCUUUGCUCGUGUUUGUUGAAAAGCACAAAAUGAAACCUUGCCUUGUUCAGUCUGUUCAGUCUCUCCCUUCCUUUCAGCUUUUUCAGCUAAUAAUAGGCACAUGUAAGCGAUUAGCAUAACCUCGUGUGACUUCCCUAGUGUUUGUGCAAUCCUCAACAUGUGCUUUAUCUUCUGGGCACCAAGUGAAAGCGUUUGGCACUUCUCACAGAGCAGCUUUGCCAUCCCUCUGGGAUGCUGAGCAGCCUCUAUAGCAGCCCCCCAUGCUCCCCACACCCAAAGAGGAUCAGUUACUUUGUUCUGAUCAAAAACACCUUUUAAAUUUAAUCAUUUAAUUUUCAAGGUAGUUGUUCACUUUGCCUGUGCUAUGUGGUUUCAGUCCUCGGUUCCCUUCUUCGUUGCUAACAGAGAUGUUGGGCAGCUGUGGGCUGCCUGGACAGGUCCUGUCUCCAUCCCGUUCUUCUGACCCCCACAUCCUUUCCCUUGCCUGGGUGGAGCGAUGCCAGAUGCCAAAGUUAGAGGGGAAAAAUGAACUACAAUCUCAGAAAAUACUUAUUAACCAUUCAAUAGUUGGGUCUUGGUGCCCCAUUUGCUCCAGCUGGGAAGCAGUUCCCAAAGGAGCCCAACUGUUUUGAAGGCUCAUUACUGACAUUGUGAACUAUGUACCACACCCAACGAGUUAAAGAACAACACAAGUAAUGCAGAGCAAAUGAGCAUUGGGAUUUACAGCUUGGCUGGUUACACAGGUUGUGGAUGAGCCGCUCUCUGCUUCAUGCCUGGGAUUAUUUUCCAGGCAGUCUGGGGGAGGUGGAGAAAUAAAAGCAGGUUUAUGCUGUCCACAAGAAGGGUGAUGCUGUGCUGCAGUAGCAGUGAGGAUAAUACUGAUCCUGCUGGAGCUCCUGCAGAUGGAGCAGAAAUGCCAUCGUGUGUGAGGACAGGUAGAGGAAGACGCACCACGAUUUGAGCUAUUUGGUUUAUCUCUGUUUGUGGCUUGGGGCUGGGAGUCUGGAAGUGUUUUGGCAUUUCCUAAAUGCCUCUGAUAAGCGGGGUAGGAGCCCCUCUUGGGAACCAGGGAAGGUCUGCUGGGAAUGGGAAAAGCCACGGCCAGGGCUGCGUGCAUGGGCUGAGCUGAGCAGCCCUGUGCUGGCAGAGCCAGGAUGCUUGUGGCUGCGUUUCUGAUGUCCCUGCUUCUAGGACAUGAGUAAUCAGCUCAUAGGCCA
Molecule: long non-coding RNA, 2200 nt
Organism: Tympanuchus pallidicinctus (lesser prairie-chicken)
Lineage: Eukaryota; Metazoa; Chordata; Aves; Galliformes; Phasianidae
Exons: 4
Source: RefSeq, a predicted model, not a curated record